GCCAGACUCCUACGGGAGGCAGCAGUGGGGGAUAUUGCACAAUGGGGGAAACCCUGAUGCAGCGACGCCGCGUGAGUGAAGAAGUAUUUCGGUAUGUAAAGCUCUAUCAGCAGGGAAGAAAAUGACAGUACCUGACCAAGAAGCCCCGGCUAACUACGUGCCAGCAGCCGCGGUAAUACGUAGGGGGCAAGCGUUAUCCGGAUUUACUGGGUGUAAAGGGAGCGUAGACGGUUAUGUAAGUCUGGAGUGAAAGCCCGGGGCCCAACCCCGGGACUGCCCUUGGAACUGUGCGGCUAGAGUGCGGGAGGGGCAGGCGGAAUUCCUGGUGUAGCGGUGAAAUGCGUAGAUAUCAGGAGGAACACCAGUGGCGAAGGCGGCCUGCUGGGCUUUUACUGACGCUGAGGCUCGAAAGUGUGGGGAGCAAACAGGAUUAGAUACCCCAGUAGAC
Molecule: ribosomal RNA, 448 nt
Filed under: uncultured bacterium
Lineage: Bacteria
Description: bacterial SSU rRNA
Rfam family: Bacterial small subunit ribosomal RNA
Source: RNAcentral